RNAcentral lists this transfer RNA (63 nucleotides) under Ictidomys tridecemlineatus (thirteen-lined ground squirrel). RNAcentral's name for it is "Spermophilus tridecemlineatus (thirteen-lined ground squirrel) tRNA". It matches the Rfam family "tRNA", at positions 5 to 66 of the family's 71-position model. From Rfam's summary of the family: Transfer RNA (tRNA) molecules are approximately 80 nucleotides in length. Their secondary structure includes four short double-helical elements and three loops (D, anti-codon, and T loops). The record is from Rfam by way of RNAcentral. Lineage: Eukaryota; Metazoa; Chordata; Mammalia; Rodentia; Sciuridae.
AUGUAGCUCAUUGGUAGAGUGCUUGCCUAGAAUGCAUGAGGCCCUAGGUUUUAUCCCCAGCAU